Long non-coding RNA from Oreochromis aureus, 193 nucleotides. RefSeq lists it as uncharacterized. The transcript is spliced from 3 exons. NCBI's taxonomy places the organism in Eukaryota, Metazoa, Chordata, Actinopteri, Cichliformes, Cichlidae. The record is from RefSeq and is a predicted model, not a curated record.
GCAUCAAAAUAUGCAAUUUUGACACGCGAUGGAUUUUUCUUGGACACCGUUGAGGUGCGAAUGUGCACGCGUCAAAUUAGGGGCGUUUGGGGCAUUUUCGCUCGCGUCUAUCGCAUUCGGUGUGAACACACCGUGAGGCUACGUGUUUGAGAAUUAUACCACGGAGUCAGGGACUUUGGAUUUGAGGCCUUAG